RNAcentral lists this ribosomal RNA (1547 nucleotides) under Salmonella enterica subsp. enterica serovar Heidelberg. Its description in RNAcentral is "partial 23S ribosomal RNA". It matches the Rfam family "Bacterial large subunit ribosomal RNA", at positions 711 to 2238 of the family's 2925-position model. Lineage: Bacteria; Pseudomonadati; Pseudomonadota; Gammaproteobacteria; Enterobacterales; Enterobacteriaceae. The record is from RNAcentral.
AGACCCGAAACCCGGUGAUCUAGCCAUGGGCAGGUUGAAGGUUGGGUAACACUAACUGGAGGACCGAACCGACUAAUGUUGAAAAAUUAGCGGAUGACCUGUGGCUGGGGGUGAAAGGCCAAUCAAACCGGGAGAUAGCUGGUUCUCCCCGAAAGCUAUUUAGGUAGCGCCUCGUGAAUUCAUCUCCGGGGGUAGAGCACUGUUUCGGCUAGGGGGCCAUCCCGGCUUACCAACCCGAUGCAAACUGCGAAUACCGGAGAAUGUUAUCACGGGAGACACACGGCGGGUGCUAACGUCCGUCGUGAAGAGGGAAACAACCCAGACCGCCAGCUAAGGUCCCAAAGUCAUGGUUAAGUGGGAAACGAUGUGGGAAGGCCCAGACAGCCAGGAUGUUGGCUUAGAAGCAGCCAUCAUUUAAAGAAAGCGUAAUAGCUCACUGGUCGAGUCGGCCUGCGCGGAAGAUGUAACGGGGCUAAACCAUGCACCGAAGCUGCGGCAGCGACGCUGAUGCGUUGUUGGGUAGGGGAGCGUUCUGUAAGCCUGCGAAGGUGACCUGUGAGGGUUGCUGGAGGUAUCAGAAGUGCGAAUGCUGACAUAAGUAACGAUAAAGCGGGUGAAAAGCCCGCUCGCCGGAAGACCAAGGGUUCCUGUCCAACGUUAAUCGGGGCAGGGUGAGUCGACCCCUAAGGCGAGGCCGAAAGGCGUAGUCGAUGGGAAACGGGUUAAUAUUCCCGUACUUGGUGUUACUGCGAAGGGGGGACGGAGAAGGCUAUGUUGGCCGGGCGACGGUUGUCCCGGUUUAAGCGUGUAGGUGUGUGUUCCAGGUAAAUCCGGUUCACUUUAACACUGAGGCGUGACGACGAGGCACUACGGUGCUGAAGCAACAAAUGCCCUGCUUCCAGGAAAAGCCUCUAAGCAUCAGGUAACAUCAAAUCGUACCCCAAACCGACACAGGUGGUCAGGUAGAGAAUACCAAGGCGCUUGAGAGAACUCGGGUGAAGGAACUAGGCAAAAUGGUGCCGUAACUUCGGGAGAAGGCACGCUGACACGUAGGUGAAGUGAUUUACUCAUGGAGCUGAAGUCAGUCGAAGAUACCAGCUGGCUGCAACUGUUUAUUAAAAACACAGCACUGUGCAAACACGAAAGUGGACGUAUACGGUGUGACGCCUGCCCGGUGCCGGAAGGUUAAUUGAUGGGGUCAGCGCAAGCGAAGCUCCUGAUCGAAGCCCCGGUAAACGGCGGCCGUAACUAUAACGGUCCUAAGGUAGCGAAAUUCCUUGUCGGGUAAGUUCCGACCUGCACGAAUGGCGUAAUGAUGGCCAGGCUGUCUCCACCCGAGACUCAGUGAAAUUGAACUCGCUGUGAAGAUGCAGUGUACCCGCGGCAAGACGGAAAGACCCCGUGAACCUUUACUAUAGCUUGACACUGAACAUUGAGCCUUGAUGUGUAGGAUAGGUGGGAGGCUUUGAAGUGUGGACGCCAGUCUGCAUGGAGCCGACCUUGAAAUACCACCCUUUAAUGUUUGAUGUUCUAACGUGGACCCGUUA